ACGCUAGCUACAGGCUUAACACAUGCAAGUCAAGGGGAAACGGCAUUUAGUGCUUGCACCGAAAGGACGUCGACCGGCGCACGGGUGAGUAACGCGUAUCCAACCUUCCCACAACUAAGGAAUAACCUGCCGAAAGGCAGACUAAUACCUUAUGUAAUCCUUUGAUGGCAUCAGAUAAGGAUAAAAGAUUUAUCGGUUAUGGAUGGGGAUGCGUCUGAUUAGCUUGUUGGCGGGGUAACGGCCCACCAAGGCAACGAUCAGUAGGGGUUCUGAGAGGAAGGUCCCCACAUUGGAACUGAGACACGGUCCAAACUCCUACGGGAGGCAGCAGUGAGGAAUAUUGGUCAAUGGACGUAAGUCUGAACCAGCCAAGUAGCGUGCAGGAUGACGGCCCUAUGGGUUGUAAACUGCUUUUGUAUGGGGAUAAAGUCAAUCACGUGUGAUUGUUUGCAGGUACCAUACGAAUAAGGACCGGCUAAUUCCGUGCCAGCAGCCGCGGUAAUACGGAAGGUUCGGGCGUUAUCCGGAUUUAUUGGGUUUAAAGGGAGCGUAGGCCGGAGAUUAAGUGUGUUGUGAAAUGUAGACGCUCAACGUCUGAAUUGCAGCGCAUACUGGUUUCCUUGAGUACGCACAACGUUGGCGGAAUUCGUCGUGUAGCGGUGAAAUGCUUAGAUAUGACGAAGAACUCCGAUUGCGAAGGCAGCUGACGGGAGCGCAACUGACGCUGAAGCUCGAAGGUGCGGGUAUCGAACAGGAUUAGAUACCCUGGUAGUCCGCACAGUAAACGAUGGAUGCCCGCUGUUGGUACCUAGUAUCAGCGGCUAAGCGAAAGCAUUAAGCAUCCCACCUGGGGAGUACGCCGGCAACGGUGAAACUCAAAGGAAUUGACGGGGGCCCGCACAAGCGG
RNAcentral lists this ribosomal RNA (907 nucleotides) under uncultured bacterium. Its description in RNAcentral is "bacterial SSU rRNA". It matches the Rfam family "Bacterial small subunit ribosomal RNA", at positions 33 to 932 of the family's 1533-position model. The record is from RNAcentral.